Molecule: non-coding RNA, 45 nt
Filed under: Schistosoma mansoni
Lineage: Eukaryota; Metazoa; Platyhelminthes; Trematoda; Strigeidida; Schistosomatidae
Source: RNAcentral
AUCCAACUGACGAGCCCCGAAUAGGACGAAACGCUCGUCCUAGAU